AGAUUGAACGCUGGCGGCAGGCCUAACACAUGCAAGUCGAGCGGCAGCACGGGUACUUGUACCUGGUGGCGCGCGGCGGACGGGUGAGUAAUGCCUAGGAAUCUGCCUGGUAGUGGGGGAUAACGCUCGGAAACGGACGCUAAUACCGCAUACGUCCUACGGGAGAAAGCAGGGGACCUUCGGGCCUUGCGCUAUCAGAUGAGCCUAGGUCGGAUUAGCUAGUUGGUGGGGUAAUGGCUCACCAAGGCGACGAUCCGUAACUGGUCUGAGAGGAUGAUCAGUCACACUGGAACUGAGACACGGUCCAGACUCCUACGGGAGGCAGCAGUGGGGAAUAUUGGACAAUGGGCGAAAGCCUGAUCCAGCCAUGCCGCGUGUGUGAAGAAGGUCUUCGGAUUGUAAAGCACUUUAAGUGGAGGAAGGCAGUUACCUAAUACGUAUCUGUUUGACGUUACCGACAAGAAUAAGCAACCGGCUAACUCUGUGCCAGCACG
Molecule: ribosomal RNA, 494 nt
Filed under: uncultured soil bacterium
Lineage: Bacteria
Description: bacterial SSU rRNA
Rfam family: Bacterial small subunit ribosomal RNA
Source: RNAcentral